Linepithema humile (Argentine ant) is the source of this 1172-nucleotide non-coding RNA. NCBI's taxonomy places the organism in Eukaryota, Metazoa, Arthropoda, Insecta, Hymenoptera, Formicidae. The record is from RefSeq and is a predicted model, not a curated record.
AUAUCAAUACGGAAUCAAUUGCGAUCCUACAUGCGUUUGCUUCUCAACCGUCCAAGAGUGACAACGUUCCCGCGAAUUUGCGUUCUGCUUGAACAUAUGUAUAUGACGAGACGAGGAACAGCAAUAUCUAACUUCAAAUAAAAGAUUGUAAAAGAUGCAUCUGCAUUUAGAAAGAUUUUUGAAAUAUUACAUCGGAGGAAUGCAACUGCUACAAAUUGGAUCAUCACAUAAAAAUAAAUCUCAGAACAUGGUUGUUUGUCUUUAUUACCAUCAACAUAUUAAUACAUGAAACAAUAGCAGCUCCUCAACCAUAACCUAAACCAGAUUUUUGCUAUGUCUGUAUUUAGUAUUAACAACUAGCAUCAAAAUUAUACGUUGGUAAUGCUUAAGUUAGUUUCUUCAACAAAAAGGAUUAAUAUUUUUAAGUCAACGAAAAAAGCAUCUCAGGCGAUUACACACAAGUAUAAGAUGCCGCAAAUAUGAACCGCUGAUUACGUUCACUGACAGUCUUUGCGUAUACAUAAAUUUUGAGAGUGCCGAGAAAAAGUAUCAGGCGUUUAUCGAGUUUUAAAUAUUGCCAGUGCGGUGAGUGAUUAAUUAUCGAUGGAAAAUUAAAGUUUAUGAUAAAAGAUAGAAUGGAUUAAUCGACGGAAAAAAGCAACAGGAUAACGAUCGAUUUUCCGCAGGGCAUACAAUGAUAUUAGAAACAUUCAUGCAGAAAGAAUGUAGCAACACGUUUUUCUUUUGAAAAGAGGAAAAAGAACAAAGGCAUGCUGUGAUCUUUGACCGCAAUGGCUCUGAACAAGUUCGAACAGAAAUGAGGACAUUUAUAUCUCCUUCCGCUGUCCCUGCUCAAAGAAGGACUAAAGAAAAUAUGUAGACGAAGAAAGAAAUGUGUAAGAAUGUAAGUAGAAAAAAACUUUGCGCGUGUAAUCGGUGCUACGAAAUGUAUUCCUCCUGUCGUCAUAUAACAAAAUGCGCGUCGGGAGUGCCGUUUAUAAUAGCGAGCGAUUUUCGUAUUCAGAUACGCACGCGAGCAAUGCGUGUGCCGUGAACGCGUGUGUGAGUGUCUCGAAGGACCGCUGAGAAGAGAAGGAAGCCUAGGAGGCAUUGGGCGAUAGCAGAGCAAUGAUAUGACCAACUUUGUGCGCGUAAUCGGUGCUACAAAAUAU